Long non-coding RNA from Oncorhynchus keta (chum salmon), 354 nucleotides. RefSeq lists it as uncharacterized. Lineage: Eukaryota; Metazoa; Chordata; Actinopteri; Salmoniformes; Salmonidae. The record is from RefSeq and is a predicted model, not a curated record. The transcript is spliced from 3 exons.
AGUAGGACCUGGGCUAACACAUUACAUAAUCUAUACAGUAGGACCUGGGCUAACACAUUACAUAAUCUAUACAGUAGGACCUGGGCUAACACAUUACAUAAUCUAUACAGUAGGACCUGGGCUAACACAUUACAUAAUCUAUACAGUAGGACCUGGGCUAACACAUUACAUAAUCUAUACAGUAGGACCUGGGCUAACACAUUACAUAAUCUAUACAGUAGGACCUGGGCUAACACAUUACAUAAUCUAUACAGUAGGACCUGGGCUAACACAUUACAUAAUCUAUACAGUAGGUCCUGGGCUAACACAUUACAUAACCUAUACAGUAGGUCAUAACCCAGGUCCUACUGUAAA